CUUUGCAUUUAUUUGCUGCUGUUGUCUCUGAGUGAUAUGAGCAGUUAUACGCAUGGGAUAAAAUAAUAUUGGGCUAUUGUAAAUCAAAAUGGAGUAACCAUUUCAUCUCUUCUCCAUGGUUUAGACAUUG
Molecule: small nucleolar RNA, 130 nt
Filed under: Dasypus novemcinctus (nine-banded armadillo)
Lineage: Eukaryota; Metazoa; Chordata; Mammalia; Cingulata; Dasypodidae
Description: Small nucleolar RNA SNORA20 (ENSDNOG00000031645.1)
Rfam family: Small nucleolar RNA SNORA20
About the family: ACA20 is a member of the H/ACA class of snoRNA that guide the sites of modification of uridines to pseudouridines.
Source: RNAcentral